RNAcentral lists this ribosomal RNA (2931 nucleotides) under Klebsiella variicola. RNAcentral describes it as "23S ribosomal RNA". It matches the Rfam family "Bacterial large subunit ribosomal RNA". The record is from RNAcentral. Lineage: Bacteria; Pseudomonadati; Pseudomonadota; Gammaproteobacteria; Enterobacterales; Enterobacteriaceae.
GGGUUGUGAGGUUAAGCGACUAAGCGUACACGGUGGAUGCCCUGGCAGUCAGAGGCGAUGAAGGACGUGCUAAUCUGCGAAAAGCGUCGGUAAGGUGAUAUGAACCGUUAUAACCGGCGAUGUCCGAAUGGGGAAACCCAGUGUGAUUCGUCACACUAUCGUUAACUGAAUACAUAGGUUAACGAGGCGAACCGGGGGAACUGAAACAUCUAAGUACCCCGAGGAAAAGAAAUCAACCGAGAUUCCCCCAGUAGCGGCGAGCGAACGGGGAGCAGCCCAGAGUCUGAAUCAGCUUGUGUGUUAGUGGAACGGUCUGGAAAGUCCGACGGUACAAGGUGAUAGGCCCGGACACCAAAAUGCACAGGCUUUGAACUCGACGAGUAGGGCGGGACACGUGGUAUCCUGUAUGAAUAUGGGGGGACCAUCCUCCAAGGCUAAAUACUCCUGACUGACCGAUAGUGAACCAGUACCGUGAGGGAAAGGCGAAAAGAACCCCGGCGAGGGGAGUGAAAAAGAACCUGAAACCGUGUACGUACAAGCAGUGGGAGCCUCUUUAUGGGGUGACUGCGUACCUUUUGUAUAAUGGGUCAGCGACUUAUAUUCUGUAGCAAGGUUAACCGUAUAGGGGAGCCGCAGGGAAACCGAGUCUUAACUGGGCGUUAAGUUGCAGGGUAUAGACCCGAAACCCGGUGAUCUAGCCAUGGGCAGGUUGAAGGUUGGGUAACACUAACUGGAGGACCGAACCGACUAAUGUUGAAAAAUUAGCGGAUGACUUGUGGCUGGGGGUGAAAGGCCAAUCAAACCGGGAGAUAGCUGGUUCUCCCCGAAAGCUAUUUAGGUAGCGCCUCGUGAACUCAUCUUCGGGGGUAGAGCACUGUUUCGGCUAGGGGGUCAUCCCGACUUACCAACCCGAUGCAAACUACGAAUACCGAAGAAUGUUAUCACGGGAGACACACGGCGGGUGCUAACGUCCGUCGUGAAGAGGGAAACAACCCAGACCGCCAGCUAAGGUCCCAAAGUCAUGGUUAAGUGGGAAACGAUGUGGGAAGGCACAGACAGCCAGGAUGUUGGCUUAGAAGCAGCCAUCAUUUAAAGAAAGCGUAAUAGCUCACUGGUCGAGUCGGCCUGCGCGGAAGAUGUAACGGGGCUAAACCAUGCACCGAAGCUGCGGCAGCGACACUAUGUGUUGUUGGGUAGGGGAGCGUUCUGUAAGCCUGCGAAGGUGGCCUGUGAGGGUUGCUGGAGGUAUCAGAAGUGCGAAUGCUGACAUAAGUAACGAUAAAGCGGGUGAAAAGCCCGCUCGCCGGAAGACCAAGGGUUCCUGUCCAACGUUAAUCGGGGCAGGGUGAGUCGACCCCUAAGGCGAGGCCGAAAGGCGUAGUCGAUGGGAAACAGGUUAAUAUUCCUGUACUUGGUGUUACUGCGAAGGGGGGACGGAGAAGGCUAUGUUAGCCGGGCGACGGUUGUCCCGGUUUAAGCAUGUAGGCGGAGGUUCCAGGUAAAUCCGGUACCUUUUAACGCUGAGGUGUGAUGACGAGGCACUACGGUGCUGAAGUAACAAAUGCCCUGCUUCCAGGAAAAGCCUCUAAGCAUCAGGUAACAUUAAAUCGUACCCCAAACCGACACAGUUGGUCAGGUAGAGAAUACCAAGGCGCUUGAGAGAACUCGGGUGAAGGAACUAGGCAAAAUGGUGCCGUAACUUCGGGAGAAGGCACGCUGGUGUGUAGGUGAAGUCCCUGCGGAUGGAGCUGAGACCAGUCGAAGAUACCAGCUGGCUGCAACUGUUUAUUAAAAACACAGCACUGUGCAAACACGAAAGUGGACGUAUACGGUGUGACGCCUGCCCGGUGCCGGAAGGUUAAUUGAUGGGGUUAUCCGUAAGGAGAAGCUCUUGAUCGAAGCCCCGGUAAACGGCGGCCGUAACUAUAACGGUCCUAAGGUAGCGAAAUUCCUUGUCGGGUAAGUUCCGACCUGCACGAAUGGCGUAAUGAUGGCCAGGCUGUCUCCACCCGAGACUCAGUGAAAUUGAACUCGCUGUGAAGAUGCAGUGUACCCGCGGCAAGACGGAAAGACCCCGUGAACCUUUACUAUAGCUUGACACUGAACAUUGAGCCUUGAUGUGUAGGAUAGGUGGGAGGCUUUGAAGCGUGGACGCCAGUCUGCGUGGAGCCAACCUUGAAAUACCACCCUUUAAUGUUUGAUGUUCUAACGUUGGCCCCUUAUCGGGGUUGCGGACAGUGUCUGGUGGGUAGUUUGACUGGGGCGGUCUCCUCCCAAAGAGUAACGGAGGAGCACGAAGGUUAGCUAAUCCUGGUCGGACAUCAGGAGGUUAGUGCAAUGGCAUAAGCUAGCUUGACUGCGAGCGUGACGGCGCGAGCAGGUGCGAAAGCAGGUCAUAGUGAUCCGGUGGUUCUGAAUGGAAGGGCCAUCGCUCAACGGAUAAAAGGUACUCCGGGGAUAACAGGCUGAUACCGCCCAAGAGUUCAUAUCGACGGCGGUGUUUGGCACCUCGAUGUCGGCUCAUCACAUCCUGGGGCUGAAGUAGGUCCCAAGGGUAUGGCUGUUCGCCAUUUAAAGUGGUACGCGAGCUGGGUUUAGAACGUCGUGAGACAGUUCGGUCCCUAUCUGCCGUGGGCGCUGGAGAAUUGAGGGGGGCUGCUCCUAGUACGAGAGGACCGGAGUGGACGCAUCACUGGUGUUCGGGUUGUCAUGCCAAUGGCACUGCCCGGUAGCUAAAUGCGGAAGAGAUAAGUGCUGAAAGCAUCUAAGCACGAAACUUGCCCCGAGAUGAGUUCUCCCUGAGACUAUAAGUCUCCUGAAGGAACGUUGAAGACGACGACGUUGAUAGGCCGGGUGUGUAAGCGCAGCGAUGCGUUGAGCUAACCGGUACUAAUGAACCGUGAGGCUUAACCUUACAACGCCGAAGCUGUU